RNAcentral lists this long non-coding RNA (222 nucleotides) under Homo sapiens (human). RNAcentral's name for it is "non-protein coding lnc-GP2-1:2". Lineage: Eukaryota; Metazoa; Chordata; Mammalia; Primates; Hominidae. The record is from RNAcentral.
AUGGCGUACCAUGGCCAGGACCAGAGAGUGCAGAGGGUUAUGGUACUGCCCAUCAACCUCAUCUUCAGAUACUUACAAAAUAGAUCAUGGAUUCAGUGUUCUGUGCCCCUUCAUGCCCAGGGCAGGUCAACUAUGUCCAUCUCACCAUUUCUAGGCUUAUACUUACAGUCUGAAGUAAAACAAGACCAGUUAGCCCGACAACACAAAUGGAACUUGGCAUGA